This is a long non-coding RNA of Sinocyclocheilus rhinocerous, 1138 nucleotides long. RefSeq lists it as uncharacterized. Lineage: Eukaryota; Metazoa; Chordata; Actinopteri; Cypriniformes; Cyprinidae. The record is from RefSeq and is a predicted model, not a curated record. The transcript is spliced from 3 exons.
UUUCAAAAGUAAUAUUUAAAGUGAUCAAAUACUGUUGGAAAUGGUGGACUUGUCAGUUUAUGACCAAAUAUUGUGCGGUCUAACAGUGCUUUAAAUGUGCUUGCUUGUUCAUGCUCUAAUACUUGAUAAGGACUAAAAUAGCCAUGGUGGACUCUCCUUACCUCUUUAUUUGCUUAUGAAUAUUGUAAUAUGAUUUUUAAAUACUUAAACAUGUGAAGGCAUUCCGUUCAUGUGUCGGUUCAGAUGUUAUUGAAUCAUUUAAGAGUGACGACUUUGUGAAUAUUUGACAGGUUGGUUGUAUUUCUUCACAGCUGAACCCUGUAUUUCUAAGAAAGGAAAAAAAAAGCUCAAUGAACAAGUUACAAGAAGCAUGAAAUCUCAUUGUUCUCCUCAAACAUGCAGAUAUGCAGUGUCUUGUAGCAUUAGAGGUUUAUGUGCCUUUAAAGAACAAAGCAAGUGUUGCUGCAGCUUUUGCUCAUAGCUGUGCUGUUCUUGUGUUCAUCGGCUGUAACCUUUAGCCUUGACUACAUUUAUGCAUUAGAUGCGAGACUGAUGCUCUUGUUUGUAAUGUCCAUUUUGGAGAGUAGAUCAUUUUAAACUGAUACUCUGUAGGUCGAAAGGUAUUGCUUAUACAAAUUUUGUUAUGCUAUAAUACUUGACACGAUUUUUGUUGUAUCAUCUGUUAAUACCGAUUAAGCUGCUCUGUACAUGUAUUUUAAUCGAAUGUAAAAAAAAAAAAAGAGUAUUGAUGGUGUUGAUUUAAUUGCUUACAGCUCUGCAUGGUUGGUAAUAUCGAUGUAAGAUUUAUCACUGCUCUGGAAUAUGCAUAUUAUUUAUUUCCUCAAAUAAUGUGCCAUUUCAAUUAAAUAUUCCACUGUGGCUUCUUGUUCCUCACUUGUGAGAAAUGCAUUUAAAGCAUACUUUAAAAAAUAGUAAUUAUGAAAGCAAUAUACUUUAAGAAGUAAUAUUUCAUUGUGCACCUAAUGUAUAUUAUUAUUAUGGAACAACUGUUGUAUAUAAAUUACAUGAAUGGUAUAUCCUAAAUGUAAGAAGUUAAGCCUUCAAGUGCUUUUUGACUUAUUUUAGCAGCACUUAAAGGGUUAGUUCACCCAAAAAUGAAAAUUCUGUCAUUAAUUAC